UAAUUCUCACAACAAGCUUAAGAGGGAGGUGCUACUAUCUGUUCUCAUUUUAGAGAAGCGGAAAUUGAAAUUCAGACAAGUUUACACACCUGCCCAAGGUUACACAUAUUGAAAGGGCCAAGCUCGCCAGCACCACCUCCAGGAGAGGGGCUGGAGGAUUAGGAGAAUCUCAACAGCUUCAUCUUUAGGACUAGUGUCCUUAUAAGAAGAGGAGAAGAUACCAGGAAUGCAAGUGUAGAGAAAACAUCAUGUAAGCAAGAAGGCAGUGAUCUG
This 273-nucleotide long non-coding RNA is filed under the name Homo sapiens (human). Its description in RNAcentral is "HSALNT0036484". The record is from RNAcentral. Lineage: Eukaryota; Metazoa; Chordata; Mammalia; Primates; Hominidae.